CAAAAAUUGUUUGUUGUGGACAGGUUUGUCGCAGGUCUGAUAACAAGCUUGCUGCAGACUUGACAAAAACAACUCGCGACAGGUCUGUUGGAACAGGUUGUAACAGACCUGUUGAUUUCAACAGACCUGCUGCAAGUUCUUCUAUCAGACCUGUUAUCUCUUGUUAGUAACAGGCUUGUAGCGGGUUGUUUCAACAAGUCGCUACGGCUCUGUUGUCAACAGCUUGCGACAGACCUGUUACCGCAAGCCUGUUACCGCCUGACGAAACCAACAGACCUGUCGCGACUUGUUGACAACUUGCCGCAAGCCGGUAAAAUCAACAGCUUGCGACAGGCCUGUGAGAUUUCUGGCUGUGUAGA
Paramuricea clavata is the source of this 359-nucleotide non-coding RNA. The record is from the annotation of a GenBank genome assembly. NCBI's taxonomy places the organism in Eukaryota, Metazoa, Cnidaria, Anthozoa, Malacalcyonacea, Plexauridae.